Molecule: ribosomal RNA, 425 nt
Filed under: uncultured bacterium
Lineage: Bacteria
Description: bacterial SSU rRNA
Rfam family: Bacterial small subunit ribosomal RNA
Source: RNAcentral
AGGGAAUAUUGCACAAUGGACGAAAGUCUGAUGCAGCAACGCCGCGUGAGUGAAGAAGGCCCUUGGGUCGUAAAGCUCUUUAGCCUGGAAAGAAGUGCCUUUGGGUAAACAAUCCUGAGGUGUGACGGUACCAGGAGAAUAAGGUCCGGCUAAUUUCGUGCCAGCAGCCGCGGUAAUACGAAAGGACCAAGCGUUACUCGGAAUCACUGGGCGUAAAGCGCGCGUAGGCGGCCUUGUAUGUCGAUUGUGAAAGCCCCGGGCUCAACCUGGGAACUGCAGUCGAAACUGCAAGGCUUGAAUGUUGGAGAGGUUGGGGGAAUACCUAGUGGAGAAGUGAAAUUCGUAGAGAUUAGGUGGAACACCAGAGGCGAAGGCGCCUGACUGGCCAAACAUUGACGCUGAGGCGCGAAAGCGUGGGUAGCAAA